CCGCGCGCGGACCUGCAGCCAUGGCAGUCGCCGCCCAGGCAGCCCGCAGGAAGGAGCGCGUCCUCUGCCUGUUUGACGUGGACGGGACCCUCACGCCGGCUCGCCAGAAAAUUGACCCUGAGGUGGCCACCUUCCUGCAGAAGCUGCGAAGUAGAGUGCAGAUCGGUGUGGUGGGCGGCUCUGACUACUGUAAGAUCGCUGAGCAGCUGGGUGACGGGGAUGAAGUCAUUGAGAAGUUUGAUUAUGUGUUUGCCGAGAACGGGACGGUGCAGUAUAAGCAUGGACGACUGCUCUCCAAGCAGGUCAGUGUCCCCCAGGACUUAGCCAGGGGCACCCCACUUUUCCAUAGUGGAGCAGUCCAAGGGGGCUUCUGUCCUGGGCUGGGGGAGAGAUACUGUGCCUGUCUCAGGGUCAGGCAGCCCAGGCCACUCUCAGAGCCCUGUGUUCCUUGGCCAGACCAUCCAGAACCACCUGGGGGAGGAGCUGCUGCAGGACUUGAUCAACUUCUGCCUCAGCUACAUGGCCCUGCUCAGGCUGCCCAAGAAGCGGUGAGGUCCCACCAGCCUGGUCUCCAGAACCUGGGGCCUGAGGGAGGAGAAGUGUGGGUCCCUCAGAGGGAGCCUGGAGAUACUUGGGCCCCUGAUUUUUUGCGGGGAGUGUGGAUUCUUGUCCCCUUUGAAGUCCUAGGACGCUGGGGUCCCAGGUGGGGCUAGAUUUGAAUUCAGGGCUGUUCUGGUUCUCUCUGGCUCCCCGCCCUCCCUCACCACCAGUGGAACCUUCAUCGAGUUCCGGAAUGGCAUGCUGAACAUCUCGCCCAUUGGCC
RNAcentral lists this small RNA (823 nucleotides) under Pongo abelii (Sumatran orangutan). RNAcentral's name for it is "retained intron". Lineage: Eukaryota; Metazoa; Chordata; Mammalia; Primates; Hominidae. The record is from RNAcentral.